This 254-nucleotide ribosomal RNA is filed under the name uncultured bacterium. RNAcentral describes it as "partial 16S ribosomal RNA". It matches the Rfam family "Bacterial small subunit ribosomal RNA", at positions 524 to 776 of the family's 1533-position model. The record is from RNAcentral.
UACGGAGGGUGCAAGCGUUAUCCGGAUUUACUGGGUUUAAAGGGUGCGUAGGUGGGUCUGUAAGUCAGUGGUGAAAUCUCCGAGCUUAACUCGGAAACUGCCAUUGAUACUAUAGAUCUUGAAUUAUCUGGAGGUGAGCGGAAUAUGUCAUGUAGCGGUGAAAUGCUUAGAUAUGACAUAGAACACCAAUUGCGAAGGCAGCUCACUACGGAUUGAUUGACACUGAGGCACUGAAAGCGUGGGGAUCAAACAGG